This 87-nucleotide transfer RNA is filed under the name Dehalococcoidales bacterium. Its description in RNAcentral is "tRNA-Ser". It matches the Rfam family "tRNA". Rfam says of the family: Transfer RNA (tRNA) molecules are approximately 80 nucleotides in length. Their secondary structure includes four short double-helical elements and three loops (D, anti-codon, and T loops). Further hydrogen bonds mediate the characteristic L-shaped molecular structure. tRNAs have two regions of fundamental functional importance: the anti-codon, which is responsible for specific mRNA codon recognition, and the 3' end, to which the tRNAs corresponding amino acid is attached (by aminoacyl-tRNA synthetases). tRNAs cope with the degeneracy of the genetic code in two manners: having more than one tRNA (with a specific anti-codon) for a particular amino acid; and 'wobble' base-pairing, i.e. permitting non-standard base-pairing at the 3rd anti-codon position. The record is from RNAcentral. Lineage: Bacteria; Bacillati; Chloroflexota; Dehalococcoidia; Dehalococcoidales.
GGAGGGGUGUCCGAGUGGUCUAAGGAGACGGUCUUGAAAACCGUUGUGCGAGUAAUCGUACCGUGGGUUCGAAUCCCACCCCUACCG